RNAcentral lists this ribosomal RNA (496 nucleotides) under uncultured bacterium. Its description in RNAcentral is "partial 16S ribosomal RNA". It matches the Rfam family "Bacterial small subunit ribosomal RNA", at positions 30 to 523 of the family's 1533-position model. The record is from RNAcentral.
AUUGAACGCUGGCGGAAUGCUUUACACAUGCAAGUCGAACGGUAGAGGGGGCAACCCCUCGAGAGUGGCGAACGGGUGAGUAAUAUAUCGGAACGUGCCCAGUCGUGGGGGAUAACGUAGCGAAAGUUACGCUAAUACCGCAUACGAUCUAAGGAUGAAAGCGGGGGAUCGAAAGACCUCGCGCGAUUGGAGCGGCCGAUAUCAGAUUAGGUAGUUGGUGGGGUAAAGGCUCACCAAGCCAACGAUCUGUAGCUGGCCUGAGAGGACGACCAGCCACACUGGAACUGAGACACGGUCCAGACUCCUACGGGAGGCAGCAGUGGGGAAUUUUGGACAAUGGACGCAAGUCUGAUCCAGCCAUUCCGCGUGCAGGAUGAAGGCCCUCGGGUUGUAAACUGCUUUUGUACGGAACGAAAAGGUCUCUCUUAAUACGGGGGGCUCAUGACGGUACCGUAAGAAUAAGCACCGGCUAACUACGUGCCAGCAGCCGCCGCCG